GAUCCCACAUUGGUUUGGAAUAGGGGUAAUGUGCUUCUUAUAUGGCCUUGGGCACUCCUUUCCCCUUGAACUGGUUUUUGGAGGUGAGUCAGGCCCGGCCUAUUUUCUUAAGCAGAACCACUAUAAUUACCAUUUACAUCAAGGUAAGCCAUCUGAUUGAGGCGAUUUCCCUGCUUUGAUAUUAUCUAAUGAAGCAUGAAGCUCAAGUAGAAUACUCUGACACACAAUACACAAGUAUUUGAGAUAAAAACUAUGCAUAUUUUAUUAAUUAAAUCUCUUAAAACUCUAAAAUACAUAGGAUAUAUGGGCUAUUUAUGAAGUCUUGAUCUCCUAAACCUAACAGUAAAAUUGAUAUACUAUUUAGGAAUUUUAGAUAAA
This 378-nucleotide unclassified non-coding RNA is filed under the name Hevea brasiliensis (rubber tree). The record is from RNAcentral. Lineage: Eukaryota; Viridiplantae; Streptophyta; Magnoliopsida; Malpighiales; Euphorbiaceae.